RNAcentral lists this long non-coding RNA (2065 nucleotides) under Trifolium pratense (red clover). Its description in RNAcentral is "long non-coding RNA (TPRA_LNC005411)". The record is from RNAcentral. Lineage: Eukaryota; Viridiplantae; Streptophyta; Magnoliopsida; Fabales; Fabaceae.
GAGACUACUAAGCCUCAGUGAAUUUCUUACUACCCACUACUUGGUGUGCUAACACCGGGGUCCUGAAAAUAGCUGAUCACUGAUAAACAUAUAUUCAUUAAUGAAUAACAUAACAUAAAUAAAGGAUUAAUUAAUUAAAUGGUCCCUUAAAGACAUUUUAGGUUUCACAAUGGUCCCUUAAAGAAAAAAAGGUCUGUUUUAGUCCCUUAAAAACAUAUCUGAUAGCAAAAAGGUCCUUUCCGUCAAUUUUUUGACAGAAAUGUUAGUCUUUGUUAACUGGUUUGUGGAUAUGAUACAGUGUAAGUGGUCCACCAAAGACUUGUUAAUAUUUUAAAAUUUUAACCAUUGAUUUUUUUAUGUUAGAAAGGAAGCCAUUGAAUCUUGUAAGUCUAUUAUAUCUUACGGCGAACCAUCAACACCUAAUUCAUUAGGUUCUUCGUCUCCUUCCUUCUCCUUCUCAAUCUCCAUCAUCUUCAUAAACUCUUUUUUUUNNNNNNNNNNNNNNNNNNNNNNNNNNNNNNNNNNNNNNNNNNNNNNNNNNNNNNNNNNNNNNNNNNNNNNNNNNNNNNNNNNNNNNNNNNAAAAACUAGUUGGUGAUGGUGCAUUGUUAGAUCCGGUGGACAUGCAACAUCUAAUGGUUUCUUUCUUUUCAAAAAGAUUUGAUGGUUAAGAUUAAAAUAUUUAUUGAGGAAUAUGGUGGACCACCUACACCGUUGGUCCACCUAAUACAUUUGGGGUUGAUAAAUUAACGGAAGGGACUAAUUUGACAAACAGUGAUAUCUUUAAGGGACCUAAGCAUAACUUUUAUUCAAUAAGGGACCAAUAUAAAACCAAUAAUUUCUUUAAGGGACCAAAAUACUAAUUAAGCCCAUAAAUAAAGGUGUAGCACACAAUUAUAAUCUUAUUCAUUUUACAGGAAGCUUUCGAGGUGAGUAUGUCUCGAAAGAUCCACUAAGGAUGUUCUCCUAUUAGAAUGUUCUCCACUAAGGAUGUCCUCCACUUAGGAUAUUCUCCUCUACCCGUUGUGACAUAGCUAUGCCACGUUGAUCUUACUCACAUUAAUUUACUUAACGGAUUUUCACUGAUGUACGAAAAACCUGUCAUAGCAUAAAGCUAUACUAAUAAGUGGUUUGGGAAUUAACCACUAUUGAUCAACUAUUCUAUUUAACUAACUUAACAUAAUAACCCAUUCCCGGGGGAGCUUACGUGCAUAGUUCUAGUUUUGAUUUCUACUUAUACUCAUAUUUUAGAGCAUGUACGUUUCGGUUCCAUCCAAGAUGAUCAGGUACUUCGUAUUUUAAAACUGUUUUAGUGUUUCUGGGCAGUUAGGGACUAUUCCGAGUUUUUCGUGCAUCGAUUCAAAAGUACUAAAAAUAUCUUGAUUUUCCCGGAGACCUUGUACCGACUCAAGCCAUGCUUGCACCGGUUCAACUUACCCAGAAUUUUCCAAUCUGCACUCUGUGACCUCUUGCACCGGUUCAUCAUAAUAAUGCACCGGCUCAACAUGCCCAGACUGCCCAUUGUACUCAUUUCUGGUUGAACAGGCUCAACCAGAUCUUGCACCGAUGCAAGAUCGUGAAAAAGUGUGGAAAACUUGUAGAAUCAUACUCCAAACAGUCCCUAGUUGUCUCUAACCAUUUCUAACACCCUAAUCAUCAUAGAUACAACCAACACAGUAACAUACAAUGGGGAAUUUAGUUCAAUUUCAUUAUUAAUCCAUUUAUGAGUUGUCUAAAUUACUAAUCAUGUUAUAAACAUACAUAAUGAAAUCAAAACCCUAUGCUUUGGACUUAUGGUUGCCAUGUCUCUACUUAAAGAAACCCACCUGAAAUUGAAGUUGAACCGCACUAUCAACAUCUUCAGAGCUCACCAAAAUGCAGGUUUUGCAAUAUAAGGUACUUCAAAUCCGUAUAGAGAAUUUUUUGCAUAAAAUCCAUAUCAGACCCUCAACUUCAAAAGCCUUAUGAGACUUCAAUAUUUAUCCAAAAAUUACAAAUUUGGUACCCAAUCGAAGGGAAUUUCGUCAGCUUUCCAUAGAAACAAGAAUCACUCAAUUCGGAUUUAC